This 164-nucleotide ribosomal RNA is filed under the name uncultured Brevibacterium sp. RNAcentral's name for it is "partial 16S ribosomal RNA". It matches the Rfam family "Bacterial small subunit ribosomal RNA", at positions 54 to 212 of the family's 1533-position model. Lineage: Bacteria; Bacillati; Actinomycetota; Actinomycetes; Micrococcales; Brevibacteriaceae. The record is from RNAcentral.
CAUGCAGUCGACGCUGAAGCCUGGGUGCUUGCAUCUGGGUGGAUGAGUGGCGAACGGGUGAGUAACACGUGAGUAACCUGCCCCUGAUUUCGGGAUAAGCCCGGGAAACUGGGUCUAAUACCGGAUACGACCAUCUGCCGCAUGGCGGGUGGUGGAAAGUUUUU